RNAcentral lists this ribosomal RNA (312 nucleotides) under Triticum aestivum (bread wheat). Its description in RNAcentral is "partial small subunit ribosomal RNA". Lineage: Eukaryota; Viridiplantae; Streptophyta; Magnoliopsida; Poales; Poaceae. The record is from RNAcentral.
AUGUCUGGGCGCGGCAAGGGAGGCAAGGGGCUUGGCAAGGGCGGCGCCAAGCGCCACCGGAAGGUGCUGCGCGACAACAUCCAGGGCAUCACCAAGCCGGCCAUCCGCCGUCUGGCUCGCCGUGGAGGCGUGAAGCGCAUCUCGGGGCUCAUCUACGAGGAGACCCGCGGCGUGCUCAAGAUCUUCCUCGAGAACGUCAUCCGCGACGCCGUCACCUACACCGAGCACGCCCGCCGCAAGACCGUCACCGCCAUGGACGUCGUCUACGCCCUCAAGCGCCAGGGACGCACCCUCUACGGCUUCGGCGGCUAG